UCCGGUUUAUCACCAGCAGUCUUCUUAAUGUGCUCAGCUUUACCUGCUAGCAAUUAAAAACAAGGGUUGCGCUCGUUACGGGACUUAACCCAACAUCUCACGACACGAGCUGACGACAGCCAUGCAGCACCUGUUACUGUGUUCCUCUCGGCACAGCAGCCUCUCCUCUGCCUUCACAGUAUGUCUAGGGUAGGUAAGGUUUUUCGCGUUGCAUCGAAUUAAACCACAUGCUCCACCGCUUGUGCGAGCCCCCGUCAAUUCCUUUGAGUUUUAACCUUGCGGUCGUACUCCCCAGGCGGAAUACUUAGCGCGUUUGCUUCGUUACUGCUUACUCCCAGUAUUCAACAACUAGUAUUCAUCGUUUACCGCAUGGACUAC
RNAcentral lists this unclassified non-coding RNA (378 nucleotides) under uncultured bacterium. RNAcentral describes it as "contains 16S-23S intergenic spacer region". The record is from RNAcentral.